Long non-coding RNA from Prinia subflava (tawny-flanked prinia), 294 nucleotides. RefSeq lists it as uncharacterized. Lineage: Eukaryota; Metazoa; Chordata; Aves; Passeriformes; Cisticolidae. The transcript has 3 exons. The record is from RefSeq and is a predicted model, not a curated record.
GCAUCUUUUCCCUCCUCCCCUACCCAGGCUGGGCGGGGGAGGGGAGCCACAUAGCCGGGCUGAGAGGAACCACACAGCCGGGCUGAGGAAAUACUUUAAGGCGACUGCUCCCAGAAGAGUGAGAGGGAUGGAAAGUGGAACAUCAGCCAUAUCUCAUUUCAAAAGUGGAUGUUACUGCACCAUUACUGAACCAUAUAGCUGGCUCCUCAAUCAGGUAUGGCACACAUCAUGAGCUCCUGAAGCUGCACUUACUGAGUAGGGAUGUAAUAUGGAUGGUUCUUCAUGGCAAGCUUG